Molecule: long non-coding RNA, 166 nt
Organism: Pundamilia nyererei
Lineage: Eukaryota; Metazoa; Chordata; Actinopteri; Cichliformes; Cichlidae
Exons: 2
Source: RefSeq, a predicted model, not a curated record
GCCGGACCGGAUAUCUGUACACGGCGCCCCGAAAAGGCCCUUUUCCGUCUCAGAGAAGUGUGGUACAGAACGGCAGACACAAUGACCGAUUGGGAGACUGCCCCCGCUGUGGCUGAGACCCCAGAGAUCAAGCUCUUCGGCAAGUGGAGCACCGAUGAUGUCCAGA